CCAACAGCAUUGUGUUGCUGCUCCAUUUGAUAUGGGAAGUGAAAUCACCAAUCUGGACUGUGACCCACCUCCUGCCUCCCGACACGACCAAGGAGCUGCAAUUUCGUUUUAACUAUCUGAUUAUGAAUCAACUUAGCUGAGACAGAAAUCACGACCUGUAAACUUCACCUCCUAUGACAAUAGACCUUAAGAAUUGUGGUCCUGGUUCAGCUGCCGGAGAGACUGGAGAAGGUUGCUGGUCAACUUCUCUCAUUUCUCAGAAGGUGCCAUGGUGAAUUAUUCAUCAGG
Long non-coding RNA from Ochotona princeps (American pika), 288 nucleotides. RefSeq lists it as uncharacterized. Lineage: Eukaryota; Metazoa; Chordata; Mammalia; Lagomorpha; Ochotonidae. The transcript is spliced from 3 exons. The record is from RefSeq and is a predicted model, not a curated record.